Molecule: ribosomal RNA, 487 nt
Filed under: uncultured bacterium
Lineage: Bacteria
Description: partial 16S ribosomal RNA
Rfam family: Bacterial small subunit ribosomal RNA
Source: RNAcentral
GACGAACGCUGGCGGCGUGCUUAACACAUGCAAGUCGAACGGGCUCUGUCUGGCUGUGUGCUGGGUGGGGUUGGUGGCGACCGGGUGAGUAAUACGUGAGUAACCUGCCCUCUUCUUUGGGAUAAGCCUUGGAAACGGGGUCUACUACUGGAUAUUCCUGUCUGGUCGCAUGGCUGGGUGGGGAAAGUUUUUUUCGGUGGGGGAUGGGCUCGCGGCCUAUCAGCUUGUUGGUGGGGUGAUGGCCUACCAAGGCGUCGACGGGUAGCCGGCCUGAGAGAGUGGCCGGCAGAAGGGGAACGGCGAUACGGGGAAGACGCCUACGGGAGGAAGCAGUGGGGGAUAUGGAACAAGGGGCGUAAGCCUGAGGCAGCGACGCCGCGUGGGGGAUGACGGCUUUCGGGUUGUAAACCUCUUGCGUUGGGGGACAAGGCUCUGCUUGGUGGUGGGGUUGAGGGUACCCGGUGAAGAAGCGCCGGCUAACUACGUG